RNAcentral lists this ribosomal RNA (820 nucleotides) under uncultured bacterium. RNAcentral's name for it is "bacterial SSU rRNA". It matches the Rfam family "Bacterial small subunit ribosomal RNA", at positions 31 to 867 of the family's 1533-position model. The record is from RNAcentral.
GAACGCUGGCGGCGUGCUUAACACAUGCAAGUCGAGCGAUGAAACACCUUCGGGUGUGAAUUAGCGGCGAACGGGUGAGGAACACGUGAGAAAUCUGCCUUCAACACUGGGAUAACUCCGGGAAACCGGGGCUAAUACCGGAUAUGAAAUCUGCGGGCAUCCGCGGAUUUGGAAAGUUUUUCGGUUGAAGAUGAUCUCGCGGCCUAUCAGCUUGUUGGUGAGGUAAUGGCUCACCAAGGCGACGACGGGUAGCCGGCCUGAGAGGGCGACCGGCCACACUGGGACUGAGACACGGCCCAGACUCCUACGGGAGGCAGCAGUGGGGAAUAUUGGGCAAUGGAGGAAACUCUGACCCAGCGACGCCGCGUGCGGGAUGAAGGCCUUCGGGUUGUAAACCGCUUUCAGCAGGGAAGAAGCGAAAGUGACGGUACCUGCAGAAGAAGCACCGGCUAACUAUGUGCCAGCAGCCGCGGUAAUACAUAGGGUGCAAGCGUUGUCCGGAAUUAUUGGGCGUAAAGAGCUCGUAGGUGGUUCGUCACGUCGGAUGUGAAACUCUGGGGCUUAACCCCAGACCUGCAUUCGAUACGGGCGAGCUUGAGUAUGGUAGGGGAGUCUGGAAUUCCUGGUGUAGCGGUGGAAUGCGCAGAUAUCAGGAGGAACACCAAUGGCGAAGGCAGGACUCUGGGCCAUUACUGACACUGAGGAGCGAAAGCGUGGGGAGCGAACAGGAUUAGAUACCCUGGUAGUCCACGCCGUAAACGGUGGGCACUAGUUGUGGGGACCUUCCACGGUCUCUGCGACGCAGCUAACGCAUAAGUGC